UGGUCCUUCGCUAGUGUAAAGAGGCAG
RNAcentral lists this non-coding RNA (27 nucleotides) under Mus musculus (house mouse). Lineage: Eukaryota; Metazoa; Chordata; Mammalia; Rodentia; Muridae. The record is from RNAcentral.